AACGAACGCUGGCGGCAUGCCUAACACAUGCAAGUCGAACGAACCCUUCGGGGUUAGUGGCGCACGGGUGCGUAACGCGUGGGGAUCUGCCCAAAGGUUCGGAAUAACUCAGAGAAAUUUGAGCUAAUACCGGAUAAUGUCUUCGGACCAAAGAUUUAUUGCCUUUGGAUGAACCCGCGUAGGAUUAGCUUGUUGGUGGGGUAAAGGCCUACCAAGGCGACGAUCCUUAGCUGGUCUGAGAGGAUGAUCAGCCACACUGGGACUGAGACACGGCCCAGACUCCUACGGGAGGCAGCAGUGGGGAAUAUUGGACAAUGGGCGAAAGCCUGAUCCAGCAAUGUCGCGUGAGUGAUGAAGGCCUUAGGGUUGUAAAGCUCUUUUACCAGGGAUGAUAAUGACAGUACCUGGAGAAUAAGCUCCGGCUAACUCCGUG
Molecule: ribosomal RNA, 433 nt
Filed under: uncultured bacterium
Lineage: Bacteria
Description: bacterial SSU rRNA
Rfam family: Bacterial small subunit ribosomal RNA
Source: RNAcentral